UACAGAGGGUGCAAGCGUUAAUCGGGUUGACUGGGCGUAAAGGGCGCGUAGGCGGACUAUUAAGUUAGAUGUAAAAGGCUCGGGCUUAACCUGAGUAGGCCAUCUAAUACUGGUAGACUAGAGUACAGUAGAGGGGAGUGGAAUUUCCGGUGUAGCGGUGAAAUGCGUAGAGAUCGGAAGGAACAUCAGUGGCGAAGGCGGCUCUCUGGACUGUAACUGACGCUGAGGUGCGAAAGCGUGGGGAGCAAAC
Molecule: ribosomal RNA, 250 nt
Filed under: uncultured bacterium
Lineage: Bacteria
Description: partial 16S ribosomal RNA
Rfam family: Bacterial small subunit ribosomal RNA
Source: RNAcentral